AGAGUUUGAUCCUGGCUCAGGAUGAACGCUGGCGGCGUGCCUAAUACAUGCAAGUCGAACGCGGGCACUUGUGCCCGAGUGGCGAACGGGUGAGUAAUACAUAAGUAACCUGGCCUUUACAGGGGGAUAACUGCUGGAAACGGCAGCUAAGACCGCAUAGGUAGGGACACUGCAUGGUGACCGUAUUAAAAGUGCUGCAAGGCACUGGUAGAGGAUGGACUUAUGGCGCAUUAGCUGGUUGGUGAGGUAACGGCUCACCAAGGCGACGAUGCGUAGCCGACCUGAGAGGGUGACCGGCCACACUGGGACUGAGACACGGCCCAGACUCCUACGGGAGGCAGCAGUAGGGAAUUUUCGGCAAUGGGGGGAACCCUGACCGAGCAACGCCGCGUGAAGGAAGAAGGAAUUCGUUCUGUAAACUUCUGUUAUAAAGGAAGAAAGACGGAUGGAGGAAAUGACAUCCGAGUGACGGUACUUUAUGAGAAAGCCACGGCUAACUACGUG
RNAcentral lists this ribosomal RNA (504 nucleotides) under uncultured Coprobacillus sp. Its description in RNAcentral is "bacterial SSU rRNA". It matches the Rfam family "Bacterial small subunit ribosomal RNA", at positions 8 to 507 of the family's 1533-position model. The record is from RNAcentral. Lineage: Bacteria; Bacillati; Bacillota; Erysipelotrichia; Erysipelotrichales; Coprobacillaceae.